GAGGGAAAGGUGAAAAGAACCCCGGGAGGGGAGUGAAAUAGAACCUGAAACCGUGUGCCUACAAUCGGUGGGAGCACUUUUAUGUGUGACCGCGUACUUUUUGUAGAACGGGCCAGCGAGUUACGGUAUGCAGCAAGGUUAAGCACUUCUGGUGCGGAGCCGAAGGGAAACCGAGUCUGAAUAGGGCAACUAGUUGCAUAUCGUAGACCCGAAACCGGGUGACCUAUCCAUGGCCAGGAUGAAGCGAAAGUAAAAUUUCGUGGAGGUCCGAACCACGUUGGUGUUGAAAAACCAUGGGAUGAGCUGUGGAUAGCGGAGAAAUUCCAAUCGAACUCGGAGAUAGCUGGUUCUCCUCGAAAUAGCUUUAGGGCUAGCGUCGGGUAAUUGAGUAAUGGAGGUAGAGCACUGAAUGGGCUAGGGGCUGACAACAGUUACUGAACCCUAUCAAACUCCGAAUGCCAUUUACUUCUAUCCCGGCAGUCAGACUACGAGUGAUAAGAUCCGU
RNAcentral lists this non-coding RNA (505 nucleotides) under Clostridium colicanis DSM 13634. Its description in RNAcentral is "Bacterial large subunit ribosomal RNA". It matches the Rfam family "Bacterial large subunit ribosomal RNA", at positions 505 to 1008 of the family's 2925-position model. The record is from Rfam by way of RNAcentral. Lineage: Bacteria; Bacillati; Bacillota; Clostridia; Eubacteriales; Clostridiaceae.